Molecule: ribosomal RNA, 303 nt
Filed under: uncultured bacterium
Lineage: Bacteria
Description: partial 16S ribosomal RNA
Rfam family: Bacterial small subunit ribosomal RNA
Source: RNAcentral
AGCAGUCGCCGCGGUAAUACGUAGGUGGCAAGCGUUGUCCGGAAUUAUUGGGCGUAAAGGGCUCGCAGGCGGUUUCUUAAGUCUGAUGUGAAAGCCCCCGGCUCAACCGGGGAGGGUCAUUGGAAACUGGGAAACUUGAGUGCAGAAGAGGAGAGUGGAAUUCCACGUGUAGCGGUGAAAUGCGUAGAGAUGUGGAGGAACACCAGUGGCGAAGGCGACUCUCUGGUCUGUAACCGACGCUGAGGAGCGAAAGCGUGGGGAGCGAACAGGAUUAGAUACCCCUGUAGUCCCUGUCUCUUAUAC